AUGAAAUAAUGUCAGAACUAAGGAUUGCUCUCCAACCUUGAGGGCCACAGAGGAGUUUCUGUUUCAGUCCAGGCUCCGUGGCAAGCUGACACCAAAUGGCUAUUCGCCAACUGAAGGUCCCACAUUUGGAAGGUUUUACGCCAGGAAAGCUGUGCACACUCAUGAUUCUGGUGCUGAGAAGGCAGAGGCAUGUGGAUCCCUGUAGCUGGCUGACCGACCAGUGCCCUUAUCGCUUGUCCAUAUGAGAGCCGUCCUGUGUCUCAGGCUGAGAAACCAUUUUUGGACCUCCUGUCAUCUAGGAGCUUGAGGAGAUAGCUCAUCACUCUUUAUCGUGAGCUCGUGAGUGACUGUUCUCUUCCUCUCUUGUACUUUUGGGGUUCUUUCUUCCAUAUUUUUAACAACUUCCCAUAAUGCUGCUGCUCUCCUUCUCCACAGCACUUGGUGUCAGCUGGGUCUUCUUCUUAACAAACAGUUGCUCUGUGCACAUCAGUCUCUAAUCCUGUCGAUAGUUGGAUUUUCCUCAUGGUGGAUUUUAGCCUUACACAGACCAGCUUUCAAAUAUAUGGUUGUGGAAUCUGA
Molecule: long non-coding RNA, 579 nt
Organism: Peromyscus californicus insignis
Lineage: Eukaryota; Metazoa; Chordata; Mammalia; Rodentia; Cricetidae
Exons: 3
Source: RefSeq, a predicted model, not a curated record